RNAcentral lists this unclassified non-coding RNA (307 nucleotides) under plant metagenome. RNAcentral's name for it is "partial contains 5.8S ribosomal RNA, internal transcribed spacer 2, and large subunit ribosomal RNA". The stretch from base 1 to 105 matches the Rfam family "5.8S ribosomal RNA", at positions 50 to 154 of the family's 154-position model. The record is from RNAcentral.
GAAAUGCGAUAAGUAAUGUGAAUUGCAGAAUUCAGUGAAUCAUCGAAUCUUUGAACGCACAUUGCACCCGCCAGCACUCUGGCGGGCAUGCCUGUUCGAGCGUCAUUUCAACCCUCAGAACCCCUUGCGGGAUCUGGCGUUGGGGAUUGGCAUCCAGUCAGCCCCGAAAUCUAGUGGCGGUCCCUCCGCGACCUCCCCUGUGCAGUAGCGAUACCUCGCAGCGGGACAGCGGUCUGACCACGCCGUAAAACCCCCAACUUCUCAAGGUUGACCUCGAAUCAGGUAGGAAUACCCGCUGAACUUAAGC